Molecule: ribosomal RNA, 724 nt
Filed under: uncultured bacterium
Lineage: Bacteria
Description: bacterial SSU rRNA
Rfam family: Bacterial small subunit ribosomal RNA
Source: RNAcentral
CAGUCGAACGAAGCACUUUAUUUGAUUUCUUCGGAAUGAAGAUUUUGUGACUGCGUGGCGGACGGGUGAGUAACGCGUGGGCAACCUGCCUCAUACAGGGGGAUAACAGUUGGAAACGACUGCUAAUACCGCAUAAGCGCACAGGGUCGCAUGACCUGGUGUGAAAAACUCCGGUGGUAUGAGAUGGACCCGCGUCCGAUUAGCCAGUUGGUGGGGUAACGGCCUACCAAAGCGACGAUCAGUAGCCGACCUGAGAGGGUGACCGGCCACAUUGGGACUGAGACACGGCCCAAACUCCUACGGGAGGCAGCAGUGGGGAAUAUUGCACAAUGGGGGAAACCCUGAUGCAGCGACGCCGCGUGAGCGAAGAAGUAUUUCGGUAUGUAAAGCUCUAUCAGCAGGGAAGAAGAAAUGACGGUACCUGACUAAGAAGCACCGGCUAAAUACGUGCCAGCAGCCGCGGUAAUACGUAUGGUGCAAGCGUUAUCCGGAUUUACUGGGUGUAAAGGGAGCGCAGGCGGUACGGCAAGUCUGAUGUGAAAGCCCGGGGCUCAACCCCGGUACUGCAUUGGAAACUGUCGGACUAGAGUGUCGGAGGGGUAAGUGGAAUUCCUAGUGUAGCGGUGAAAUGCGUAGAUAUUAGGAGGAACACCAGUGGCGAAGGCGGCUUACUGGACGAUUACUGACGCUGAGGCUCGAAAGCGUGGGGAGCAAACAGGAUUAG